Molecule: ribosomal RNA, 445 nt
Filed under: uncultured bacterium
Lineage: Bacteria
Description: partial 16S ribosomal RNA
Rfam family: Bacterial small subunit ribosomal RNA
Source: RNAcentral
GUGAGGAAUAUUGGUCAAUGGACGAGAGUCUGAACCAGCCAAGUAGCGUGAAGGAUGACUGCCCUAUGGGUUGUAAACUUCUUUUAUACGGGAAUAAAGUGAGGCACGUGUGCCUUUUUGUAUGUACCGUAUGAAUAAGGAUCGGCUAACUCCGUGCCAGCAGCCGCGGUAAUACGGAGGAUCCGAGCGUUAUCCGGAUUUAUUGGGUUUAAAGGGAGCGUAGAUGGAUGUUUAAGUCAGUUGUGAAAGUUUGCGGCUCAACCGUAAAAUUGCAGUUGAUACUGGAUAUCUUGAGUGCAGUUGAGGCAGGCGGAAUUCGUGGUGUAGCGGUGAAAUGCUUAGAUAUCACGAAGAACCCCGAUUGCGAAGGCAGCUUGCUAAACUGUAACUGACGUUCAUGCUCGAAAGUGUGGGUAUCAAACAGGAUUAGAAACCCUUGUAGUCC